This 253-nucleotide ribosomal RNA is filed under the name uncultured bacterium. Its description in RNAcentral is "partial 16S ribosomal RNA". It matches the Rfam family "Bacterial small subunit ribosomal RNA", at positions 524 to 776 of the family's 1533-position model. The record is from RNAcentral.
UACGUAGGGGGCAAGCGUUGUUCGGAAUUACUGGGCGUAAAGGGCGCGUAGGCGGCACAGCAAGUCGGGAGUGAAAGCCCGGGGCUCAACCCCGGAAUGGCUUUCGAAACUGCUGAGCUAGAGUACAGAAGGGGCAACCGGAAUUCCCAGUGUAGCGGUGAAAUGCGUAGAUAUUGGGAAGAACACCCGAGGCGAAGGCGGGUUGCUGGGCUGAUACUGACGCUGAGGCGCGAAAGCCAGGGGAGCAAACAGG